Molecule: ribosomal RNA, 1199 nt
Filed under: Pseudogymnoascus sp.
Lineage: Eukaryota; Fungi; Ascomycota; Leotiomycetes; Thelebolales; Thelebolaceae
Description: partial large subunit ribosomal RNA
Rfam family: Eukaryotic large subunit ribosomal RNA
Source: RNAcentral
CGGCGAGUGAAGCGGUAACAGCUCAAAUUUGAAAUCUGGCCUCACGGUCCGAGUUGUAAUUUGUAGAGGAUGCUUCGAGCAUGGUCUGGCCUAAGUUCCUUGGAACAGGACGUCAUAGAGGGUGAGAAUCCCGUAUGCGGCCAGGUGCCUACGCUCAUGUGAAGCUCCUUCGACGAGUCGAGUUGUUUGGGAAUGCAGCUCAAAAUGGGUGGUAAAUUUCAUCUAAAGCUAAAUAUUGGCCAGAGACCGAUAGCGCACAAGUAGAGUGAUCGAAAGAUGAAAAGCACUUUGGAAAGAGAGUUAAACAGUACGUGAAAUUGUUGAAAGGGAAGCGCUUGCAACCAGACUUGCGCGCGGCCGAUCAUCCGGUGUUCUCACCGGUGCACUCGGCCGUGCUCAGGCCAGCAUCGGUUUUGGCGGCUGGAUAAAGGCCCUAGGAAUGUGGCUCCUCUCGGGGAGUGUUAUAGCCUAGGGUGCAAUGCAGCCUGCUGGGACCGAGGACCGCGCUUCGGCUAGGAUGCUGGCGUAAUGGUUGUAAGCGGCCCGUCUUGAAACACGGACCAAGGAGUCUAACAUCUAUGCGAGUGUUUGGGUGUCAAAACCCAUACGCGUAAUGAAAGUGAACGGAGGUGAGAACCCUUAAGGGUGCAUCAUCGACCGAUCCUGAUGUCUUCGGAAGGAUUUGAGUAAGAGCAUAUCUGUUGGGACCCGAAAGAUGGUGAACUAUGCCUGAAUAGGGUGAAGCCAGAGGAAACUCUGGUGGAGGCUCGCAGCGGUUCUGACGUGCAAAUCGAUCGUCAAAUUUGGGUAUAGGGGCGAAAGACUAAUCGAACCAUUGACCUGUAGGAACACUACUAGGUGGUUAAGAGGCGGCUAAAAGUGCCGUCUAGUCCCGACGCCGGGGCGACACUGUCAAAUUGCGGGAACAUCCUUAGAGCCUAGACUACCGCAGCCUUCCCGAAAGGGGGGUGCGCACCAGGGUAACGACCUCGGGUAUGGUAAUAACGUCUAGGAUUGGACAAUCCGCAGCCAAGCCCUACGGACCUCGGUCUAUGGGUGCAGUUCAUCGACUAGAUGGCAGUGGGUGGCAGCAAUGCCGCUUAAGAUAUAGUCAGACCCCCGGGAGACCGGGCGGCAGAACGAAGACCGCGGGGGGCGUCCUCUCUGAGAGCCCUGCGGUCCCGAGUCUGCUGGUGGCG